Molecule: small nucleolar RNA, 138 nt
Organism: Tachyglossus aculeatus (Australian echidna)
Lineage: Eukaryota; Metazoa; Chordata; Mammalia; Monotremata; Tachyglossidae
Source: RefSeq, a predicted model, not a curated record
CUCCUCUCAGAGUCGCAUCUGGAGAGUUUCCAGUACUCUACCAGUCUCGACUAUGGGAAGGAGAGUCAAGUAGAGACAUAUCCAUUUCAUUCCUAACUUGGGCAGUGACUAGUGAGUGGAAGACAAUCUACUCCAAGU